RNAcentral lists this long non-coding RNA (332 nucleotides) under Homo sapiens (human). Its description in RNAcentral is "HSALNT0378261". Lineage: Eukaryota; Metazoa; Chordata; Mammalia; Primates; Hominidae. The record is from RNAcentral.
UUUCUCCUGCCACCUUGUGAAGAUGGUGCUUGCUUGCCUUUCACCUCCCACCAUGAUUAUUACUUCACCAAAGUACAGUUCCUACAGGAAGAUAAUGAUCUGACCUAACCUACUAUUGGCUGAAGGAAGGAGAAAAGCAGCUGAAGAUGUCUGUUGAGUGAUUACCCUCAUAAUCCGUGACUAAGAACAUCCAAAUCAGCAUGGCUUCUUCCUGUCUGAAAUUAUUACUACUUAGGGUUUUUCACGUGUUAUUUCAUUUAUUGAUUAUUCUGUUUUAAACUUGCAAGACGUAUUGUCUCUUCAGAAAUAAAACUUUAUCACUUGCUUCAUCA